AACACCCGGUCCCAUCCCGAACCCGGAAGUUAAGCCCUUCAGCGCCGAUGGUACUGCAUGGGAGACCGUGUGGGAGAGUAGGACACCGCCGGAC
RNAcentral lists this ribosomal RNA (94 nucleotides) under Actinomadura luteofluorescens. The record is from RNAcentral. Lineage: Bacteria; Bacillati; Actinomycetota; Actinomycetes; Streptosporangiales; Thermomonosporaceae. RNAcentral also lists the same sequence under 2 other names.